This 763-nucleotide ribosomal RNA is filed under the name Phocaeicola dorei. RNAcentral describes it as "bacterial SSU rRNA". It matches the Rfam family "Bacterial small subunit ribosomal RNA", at positions 25 to 779 of the family's 1533-position model. The record is from RNAcentral. Lineage: Bacteria; Pseudomonadati; Bacteroidota; Bacteroidia; Bacteroidales; Bacteroidaceae.
CCAGAUGAACGCUAGCUACAGGCUUAACACAUGCAAGUCGAGGGGCAGCAUGGUCUUAGCUUGCUAAGGCCGAUGGCGACCGGCGCACGGGUGAGUAACACGUAUCCAACCUGCCGUCUACUCUUGGACAGCCUUCUGAAAGGAAGAUUAAUACAAGAUGGCAUCAUGAGUCCGCAUGUUCACAUGAUUAAAGGUAUUCCGGUAGACGAUGGGGAUGCGUUCCAUUAGAUAGUAGGCGGGGUAACGGCCCACCUAGUCUUCGAUGGAUAGGGGUUCUGAGAGGAAGGUCCCCCACAUUGGAACUGAGACACGGUCCAAACUCCUACGGGAGGCAGCAGUGAGGAAUAUUGGUCAAUGGGCGAGAGCCUGAACCAGCCAAGUAGCGUGAAGGAUGACUGCCCUAUGGGUUGUAAACUUCUUUUAUAAAGGAAUAAAGUCGGGUAUGGAUACCCGUUUGCAUGUACUUUAUGAAUAAGGAUCGGCUAACUCCGUGCCAGCAGCCGCGGUAAUACGGAGGAUCCGAGCGUUAUCCGGAUUUAUUGGGUUUAAAGGGAGCGUAGAUGGAUGUUUAAGUCAGUUGUGAAAGUUUGCGGCUCAACCGUAAAAUUGCAGUUGAUACUGGAUAUCUUGAGUGCAGUUGAGGCAGGCGGAAUUCGUGGUGUAGCGGUGAAAUGCUUAGAUAUCACGAAGAACUCCGAUUGCGAAGGCAGCCUGCUAAGCUGCAACUGACAUUGAGGCUCGAAAGUGUGGUAUCAACAGGAUA